This 501-nucleotide ribosomal RNA is filed under the name uncultured bacterium. Its description in RNAcentral is "bacterial SSU rRNA". It matches the Rfam family "Bacterial small subunit ribosomal RNA", at positions 24 to 518 of the family's 1533-position model. The record is from RNAcentral.
UCAGGAUGAACGCUAGCGGCAGGCUUAACACAUGCAAGGUCGAGGGGCAUCGGGAGUAGCAAUACUGCCGGCGACCGGCGCAAGGGUGCGUAACGCGUGAGCAACAUGCCCGUAUCAGGGGGAUAAUCCAUGGAAACGUGGUCUAAUACCCCAUAGUAAUUACGUAAGGCAUCUUAUAUAAUUUAAAGCUUUGGUGGAUACGGAUUGGCUCGCGUGACAUUAGCUGGAUGGUAAGGUAACGGCUUACCAUGGCUACGAUGUCUAGGGGUUCUGAGAGGAAGGUCCCCCACACUGGAACUGAGACACGGUCCAGACUCCUACGGGAGGCAGCAGUGAGGAAUAUUGGACAAUGGAUGGAAAUCUGAUCCAGCCAUGCCGCGUGCAAGGGAAGACGGCCCUAUGGGUUGUAAACUGCUUUUGUAUGGGAGCAAUAAGGGCUACGUGUAGUCCGAUGAGAGUACCAUACGAAUAAGCACCGGCUAACUCCGUGCCAGCCGCAGC